Molecule: unclassified non-coding RNA, 402 nt
Filed under: fungal sp.
Lineage: Eukaryota; Fungi
Description: partial internal transcribed spacer region
Rfam family: Eukaryotic small subunit ribosomal RNA (bases 1-46)
Source: RNAcentral
AAGUCGUAACAAGGUCUCCGUAGGUGAACCUGCGGAGGGAUCAUUAACACUAUUUGUAUGACUACUUAUACUAGUCAUUCAAAUUUCCACACACAACGUGAAUUUGUUGGUUCGAAAGAACUGACCAAUACUAUAACUUCGCUUGAGGAUAGGUCGCCGUCGGGACGAAGUGAGUCCUGCAUACUUGUCUUUUGACGAAGUAUGUCGGUCACCACCGCUUCCGUUUCCUCAACUGGGGUUUUUUUGGGAGGUAUGACACUUCACAUGCCUCGUCCCCCUUUUUGCCUUUUUUUUCAACCAUAAGCCAAUUGACUGAUGUAAUUGAAGUAGAUCGACAGGUUUAUCUUCAAUAAGAAUUAUCUAAACUAAGCACAACUCUUAGCAACGGAUAUCUUGGUUCUC